Molecule: unclassified non-coding RNA, 345 nt
Filed under: soil metagenome
Description: partial contains 5.8S ribosomal RNA, internal transcribed spacer 2, and large subunit ribosomal RNA
Rfam family: 5.8S ribosomal RNA (bases 1-120)
Source: RNAcentral
GAUGAAGAACGUAGCGAAAUGCGAUAAGUAAUGUGAAUUGCAGAAUUCAGUGAAUCAUCGAAUCUUUGAACGCACAUUGCGCCCGCCAGUAUUCUGGCGGGCAUGCCUGUUCGAGCGUCAUUUCAACCCUCAAGACCCCCUGGGGUGUUGCUGUUGGGGACCGGCACCGCCGCCCCCGAAAUGAAUCGGCGGUCUCGUCGCGGCCUUCCUUUGCGCAGUAGCAUACCACCUCGCAAGCGGGAGCGCGGCGCGGCCACGGCCGUAAAACGCCCAACUUCUCUCAAGAGUUGACCUCGAAUCAGGUAGGAAUACCCGCUGAACUUAAGCAUAUCAAUAAGCGGAGGA